UGUAGUAAGUAUUCAUUGCUGCCAACAGUCCUGGUUUUCUUGUGAAUUUAUUUAAGGAGCUUCAGUGUUCUCUCCUGAGCGUGAAAAGUGUGCUCGGUGCUGCUUUACUGUAGCUGCCUUGUACAGUUGAUGAUCGUUCUUCUCUUCUUCAUGGAGAGGUGGAGGGAGAGAACACAAGCUGA
RNAcentral lists this small nucleolar RNA (182 nucleotides) under Leptobrachium leishanense (Leishan spiny toad). Its description in RNAcentral is "Small nucleolar RNA U3 (ENSLLEG00000027576.1)". It matches the Rfam family "Small nucleolar RNA U3". From Rfam's summary of the family: Small nucleolar RNAs (snoRNAs) are involved in the processing and modification of rRNA in the nucleolus. There are two main classes of snoRNAs: the box C/D class, and the box H/ACA class. U3 snoRNA is a member of the box C/D class. Lineage: Eukaryota; Metazoa; Chordata; Amphibia; Anura; Megophryidae. The record is from Rfam by way of RNAcentral.